Molecule: long non-coding RNA, 1754 nt
Organism: Myzus persicae (green peach aphid)
Lineage: Eukaryota; Metazoa; Arthropoda; Insecta; Hemiptera; Aphididae
Exons: 4
Source: RefSeq, a predicted model, not a curated record
AUUUGAUUAUUAACUGACAAGUUGGACUCUUAUUUAUAAACAUGAUAAUUUAUUGAUAAUGCGACAGCUUAAUCGUUGACAUACUCCUACGAACGAGAAAAAAUAUAUCUUGCUUCAAUUCAUCAGGACAAAUCAAAAUAUAGUUGUAGGGACAAAUAUUGUUUGAUACAAUGGGAUAGAAAUAUAAUAUGAGGUAUUAUAUUGGUUAAAAUGGAAUUAUAGCCAUCAUCUGAACUUAAAUAUAUACAGACGGUGACUGGCGAGUAAUUAUGGACUUAUUGUACAUUAAUACAGCAUUUAGCGAGGUGUAAAUGUAUAAGAUUAUAAUAUUUGUUAUGUUGAAAUAUCACUAUAACCUUCAGUAAAAACGAAUCAUCAACAACAUGGUCGGUAAAAACGGCGACUAAUAAUUUCACCGACAUCAAAUACCACAACAACCUUCACUGGGCGUCAAAUCUACUAAAGUGACCUUUUCAUACUGGACUGCAUAAAGGGUCUACUUGUUUUGGGAGAAGAUGUGCAGCCAAUGUACAGUCAAGGCCAAGACUUCUGGAAGGAAAUCCAUCAUCGUUCGAUAACAGAUUCAACAGUUACAGUACUGAACCAAAUGCAACUCAAGUUAGACCAACUACAAACAACAUUCAGCCACUACCCCCGACUACAGAUAAUUAACAAAAACAACUUUGACUUGGGUGAGGCGUUAAAAAUCACAAUUUUCGCCCUGGUGAUGGCGUUAAACUCACCAUAUACUCGCCACCCUCGAGAAUAAGUUUAAAAAUUACAGCUAAAGACACAUGUUGUCCAACAUUAAACUGAAAAAAGCAGAUGAAGAAACAUAGAUGUCGAGUAAAGAGUGUUAUUAUUACUCUUGGAUAGUGGAUUUGUAUUGGAUAUGUAGAGUGGUUCUACUAUAUGAGUAUAAUAUGCCCACUUUGAAUGAUCGACCUUUCAACUAUCUAUGUAUCUAAUAUUAAACAUUAAUCAGAAUAAUUUAUAAAAUUAAUAAGAAAUAAUAAGUCAUGAUGGAUUUUGCUAAAGGAAACACCAAAUUUCGUUCAGACUAUAAUUCCAAAAUAAUGUCUCUUUUUUGGAAACAUUAAAUCUAAAAUGCCUCCCUCAAACAUGCUAUUUUUUUACUAAGCUGUAGUUGAUGACAAAUGUUGUACAGCUGCUAGUCCAUGUAAAAUAAUUGAAAUAUCAUGGACAUCGUAAAAUGUGUGUAUUAGUUGAAACAUAUAGUAGAUGGGAAGAAAAUAUGAACUGUACAUUAACAAAAACUGGAUUCUUCCAACAAUUGAGCACUCAACAAAUCAAGCCCUCAAAACACGGAUAAUUGAGAGCGGAGAAAAUUAAAAAAACAUCAACAAAACCUUCAGUCAUUACGGACCGUCAAAACAGUGACUAUGGUUCGUCAUCUGUAAUUUCAUCGACAUCAACCACCACAACCACCUGCUCUGAGCUUCAAAUUUUCUACACUGGCCUUUCCAUAUUAGACCGCAUAGAAAGAGUCUACUUGGUUUGAGAGAAGUUGUGCAGCCAAUGUACAUUCAACGCCAGACUUCAGGAGAGAAAUCCAUCAUCGUUCAAUUAAUGAAUUAACAGUUACAGCAUUGGACCAACUACAACUCAAGUUAGACCAAUCACAAACAAUAUUCAACCACUACCACCGACUAGAGAUCAUUAACAAAAACAACGUUGACUUGAGUGAGGUGUUAAAAAUCACAAUUUUCGCCCUGGUGAUGGCGUUAAACUCA